CAGAGGUUCCUCUUUGUUUGAUUUGAUAUUCCUCUUUUGCAUUCUCUGCUUCUGAGAGGUGAGUUUUUGAAUAACUGUUUCUCUUUUUUAUUAAUCUCAAACGGGUUUUCAAAUUCAGAUUGUUUCUGGCAGCUGGUUUCAUUGGAUUCUCUCUGUCUGUCUCUUAAUCCCAAUUCAACCAUUUUAUUCAAUUUCAAAAAGAUUGUAACUUUGUUUCUGUGUUUCUCAUGGUGCAUGUGGGUUCUUAUACCAGCUAAUUUAGCUCUGAACUUCUUCGUAUUAGGUGAACUUCUGAAAGCUGAAUUUUAUAUUUUUCGACAUUACGCAGUGCGAAUUUCACAUUAGAUCAUCAAUUCUUUUUCAAAAUUAAAAGGUUGUGUGCAGCAUUGCUCUGAAAGUUUGUGGGUUUCUCAAAACUGGGUGAUGUUUUGUCUUUUCCUUUUUUUCCCCCUCAAUGGUCUUUGUGGUGCAUGCAUAGAAAGAAGUUAGUUAUUUGUUUUGAUUUCCUCCGUUUUUGAUUCAGACAAAUCUCUGGUAUCGAUUGAAUUCCUCCGUUUUCCCCUCUUUGGUUUGUGUUGUUCUUUCUCAGAUGGAGGUUGUGGAUGGUUGCCGCGAAGAAGACGUUGGCUGAUAAGGUGUUCCAAAGCAAUAAGAGUUUGAACAAUGAGAUUUCUUCGUCCCAUCACGAUGAUCAUGGAGCUGAUGGUGGAAUGUUACUCAUGGACAUUUGAGCUGAAAAGACCAAAACGUCUUCAUCCUCAUGUGUCACACCGGUGGUGCCCACACACCUUCCACC
This 796-nucleotide long non-coding RNA is filed under the name Arachis ipaensis. RNAcentral's name for it is "long non-coding RNA (AIPA_LNC002154)". The record is from RNAcentral. Lineage: Eukaryota; Viridiplantae; Streptophyta; Magnoliopsida; Fabales; Fabaceae.